UACAUGUGGGGCAAGCGUUGUUCGGAAUUACUGGGCAUAAAGGGUGCGUAGGCGGCUUGUUAAGUCAUUGGUGAAAGUUUUCGGCCCAACCGGAAAAUUGCCUGUGAUACUGGCGAGCUGGAGUGCGUGAGGGGUGGGGGGAACGAGCAGUGUAGCGGUGAAAUGCGUAGAUAUUGCCCGGAAGGCCGGAGCCGAAGGGGCCCCACUGGUACGUAACUGACGCUGAGGCACGAAAGCGUGGGGAGCAAACAGG
This 253-nucleotide ribosomal RNA is filed under the name uncultured bacterium. RNAcentral's name for it is "partial 16S ribosomal RNA". It matches the Rfam family "Bacterial small subunit ribosomal RNA", at positions 524 to 776 of the family's 1533-position model. The record is from RNAcentral.